AGUUCGAUUAUGGCUCAGAUUGAACGCUGGCGGGAUGCUUUACACAUGCAAGUCGACCGGCAGCACGGACUUCGGUCUGGUGGCGAGGGCGAACGGGUGAGUAAUGUAUCGGAACGUGCCUAGUAGCGGGGGAUAACUACGCGAAAGCGUAGCCAAUACCGCAUACUGCCUCGGGGAAAGCGGGGGACCUUCGGGCCUCGCACGAUGAGAGCGGCCGAUAUCGGAUUUAGCCAGGUUGGCGGCACCAGUCUCACCAAGGCGACGAUCCGUAGCUGGUUUGAGAGGGACAUUCAGCCACACUGGGACUGGAGACACGGCCCAGACUCCCCUACGGGAGGCAGCAGUGGGGAAUUGGACGAAUGGGGAACCCCGAUCCAGCCAUCCCGCGUGCGAUGAAGGCCCUUCUCGGGUUGUAGCACUUUUGGCAGGAAAGAAACGGCACGGGAUAAUACCCGUGCAACUGACGGUACCGCAGAAUACACCGCUAAUCAUGCCAGCAGCCGCGGUAAUAUUGUAAAGUGGCACCUGAAUUACUGGCGUAAAAGCGUGCGCAGGCGGUUCGGAAAGAAAGAUGUGAAAUCCUGUUUAACUUUUGAACUGCAUUUAACUACCGAGCUAGAGUGUGUCGAGGUAGGUAAAUUCCGCGUAGCAGUGGAAUGCGUGAUAUAUGAGGAACACCGAUGGCGAAGGAGCUCUGAUAAUGAUUGACGCUCAUGCACGAAAGCGUGGGGAGCAAACAGAUUGGGAUGCUCUUGGUAGUCCACGCCCCAAACGAUGUCAACUAGCUGUUGGGGCUCGGGCCUUGUAGCGCAGCUGGACCGCAGGAAGUUGACCGCCUGUGGAGUACGGUCGCAAGAUUUAAACUCAGCGAAUGACGGGGACCUGUACCAAGCGGUGAUGAUGUGGAUUAAUUCGGAUGCAACGCGAAAACCUUACCUACUCCUGAUAUCUGAAUCCCAGAGAUCGGAGUGCUCGCAAGAGAACCGAACACAGGUGCUGCAUGGCCGUCGCCCAGCUCGUCGUGAGAUGCUGGGUUAAGUCCCGCACCAGCGCAACCCUUGUCAUUAGCUGCUACGAAAGGGCACGACGAGACUGCCGGCACAAACCGAUAGCGGUGGAUGACGUCAAGUCCCUGCGUGGUCUUUAUGGGCAGGGCUUCGCACGUCACAAUGGUCGGGACAGAGGUGCCGGCUGCUAACCCGCGAGGGGGGAGCCAAUCCCAGAACCUGAUCAGUCCUGAUCGCAGUCUGCAACCUGACGGUGGUGAAGUCGGAAUCGCUAGUAAUCGCGGAUCAGCAUGUCGCGGUAACAUGUCCCGGCCCGGCACACCGCCCGUCACAACAAGGAGUGGGGCUCACCAGAAGGGUUGAACAACCGUGGCGAGGGCGAUUAUCACGGUGAGAUUCACACCGGGUGGAAGUCGUAAUAAGGUAACUUCAGGCCAUUACCUGAUGCCUCAGGAGCACGACGCAACCGAAUCAGGCGCACUUC
This 1491-nucleotide ribosomal RNA is filed under the name uncultured Bordetella sp. RNAcentral's name for it is "partial 16S-23S ribosomal RNA intergenic spacer". It matches the Rfam family "Bacterial small subunit ribosomal RNA". The record is from RNAcentral. Lineage: Bacteria; Pseudomonadati; Pseudomonadota; Betaproteobacteria; Burkholderiales; Alcaligenaceae.